This 388-nucleotide ribosomal RNA is filed under the name uncultured bacterium. Its description in RNAcentral is "bacterial SSU rRNA". It matches the Rfam family "Bacterial small subunit ribosomal RNA", at positions 28 to 417 of the family's 1533-position model. The record is from RNAcentral.
GACGAACGCUGGCGGCGUGCUUAACACAUGCAAGUCGAGCGGUAAGGCCCCUUCGGGGGUACACGAGCGGCGAACGGGUGAGUAACACGUGGGUGACCUGCCCUCAGCUCUGGGAUAAGCCUGGGAAACUGGGUCUAAUACUGGAUAUGACUCCACGGUGCAUGUCGUGGGGUGGAAAGCCUUGUGCGGCUGAGGAUGGGCCCGCGGCCUAUCAGCUUGUUGGUGGGGUGANGGCCUACCAAGGCGACGACGGGUAGCCGGCCUGAGAGGGCGACCGGCCACACUGGGACUGAGACACGGCCCAGACUCCUACGGGAGGCAGCAGUGGGGAAUAUUGCGCAAUGGGGGAAACCCUGACGCAGCGACGCCGCGUGGAGGAUGAAGGCCU